Molecule: ribosomal RNA, 431 nt
Filed under: uncultured bacterium
Lineage: Bacteria
Description: partial 16S ribosomal RNA
Rfam family: Bacterial small subunit ribosomal RNA
Source: RNAcentral
ACGAACGCUGGCGGCAUGCCUAACACCUGCCAGUCGCACGAGACCUUCGGGUCUAGUGGCGCACGGGUGCGUCACGCGUGGGAACCUGCCCUUAGGUUCGGAAUAACUCCCCGAAAGGGGUGCUAAUACCGGAUAAUGUCUUCGGACCAAAGAUUUAUCGCCUUUGGAUGGGCCCGCGUUGGAUUAGCUAGUUGGUAGGGUAAAAGCCUACCAAGGCGACGAUCCAUAGCUGGUCUGAGAGGAUGAUCAGCCACACUGGGACUGAGACACGGCCCAGACUCCUACGGGAGGCAGCAGUGGGGAAUAUUGGACAAUGGGCGAAAGCCUGAUCCAGCAAUGCCGCGUGAGUGAUGAAGGCCUUAGGGUUGUAAAGCUCUUUUACCCGGGAUGAUAAUGACAGUACCGGGAGAAUAAGCUCCGGCUAACUCCGU